RNAcentral lists this non-coding RNA (30 nucleotides) under Macaca fascicularis (crab-eating macaque). RNAcentral also lists the same sequence under 1 other name. The record is from RNAcentral. Lineage: Eukaryota; Metazoa; Chordata; Mammalia; Primates; Cercopithecidae.
GAGGAUAAAACAGAGACCAUGACAAACAGC